This 672-nucleotide unclassified non-coding RNA is filed under the name Hevea brasiliensis (rubber tree). The record is from RNAcentral. Lineage: Eukaryota; Viridiplantae; Streptophyta; Magnoliopsida; Malpighiales; Euphorbiaceae.
AUUGAUAUACCUAUAUAACUGCUACUUGAAACCCAAAGCCACUUGUUUGCUGUCAAAAUUCCACCACCUCCACCACCACUAGAAUGUCAUCCCAAGACUCCCAACCAUUCCACUGGUACUCGAGUACAGAUCUCAACAACAAUGAUUUCGAGAUCCAUGGCCGCACUCUCUUCUUCAUCGUCAUCCUCUUCGCUGUAAUAGUCCUCAUCGCCAUCCUAUUCUGGGUUUGUCGCUGCCAACACCACCACUUCCCCUCACAUCCAUCACCCCACGCGCCACCCUAUCAGCCGCAGGAGCAGGGCCUUCAUCCCACCAAAAUUAAAUCUUUGCUGAUAACUCUGUACCAGUCAUCAUCUUCGUCUUCAGGUGGGAGCAAUGACGGCAAUAGUACUGUAUUUGUGGAAGGUGAGUGCUGCAUAUGUCUAGGAAUAUUUGAAGAUGGAGAUAAGGUUAAGGUGUUGCCGGAGUGCCACCAUUGUUUCCAUAGUGAGUGUGUUGAUAAGUGGCUUAUAGAUCGGUCUAGUUGCCCUCUCUGCAGGGCUUCCCUGCUUCAGGGUGACUCUGAAUCCCCUGUUCUCUCCAUCUUAGCAGAGUAAAUCACACUAAUUAACCCUUUUUCUUUAAUCUUGGGUUCUAAAAUUUUUGGAUCGUUAAUUAUGGAUAUUAUACCUG